This 288-nucleotide ribosomal RNA is filed under the name uncultured bacterium. RNAcentral describes it as "partial 16S ribosomal RNA". It matches the Rfam family "Bacterial small subunit ribosomal RNA", at positions 775 to 1067 of the family's 1533-position model. The record is from RNAcentral.
GGAUUAGAUACCCUGGUAGUCCACGCCGUAAACGAUGGUUACUAGCUGUUUGGACCUUGCGUCUAAGUGGCUAAGCGAAAGUGAUAAGUAACCCACCUGGGGAGUACGUUCGCAAGAAUGAAACUCAAAGGAAUUGACGGGGGCCCGCACAAGCGGUGGAGCAUGUGGUUUAAUUCGAUGAUACGCGAGGAACCUUACCAGGGCUUAAAUGUAAGUUGCAUUAGUUAGAGAUAGCUAUUUCUUCGGACUACUUACAAGGUGCUGCAUGGUUGUCGUCAGCUCGUGCCG